GAUGAAGAACGUAGCGAAAUGCGAUACGUAAUGUGAAUUGCAAAUUCAGUGAAUCAUCGAGUCUAUGAACGCACAUUGCGCCCCCUGGUAUUCCGGGGGGCAUGCCUGUCCGAGCGUCAUUGCUGCCCUCAAGCACGGCUUGUGUGUUGGGCCCCGUCCUCCGAUUCCGGGGGACGGGCCCGAAAGGCAGCGGCGGCACCGCGUCCGGUCCUCGAGCGUAUGGGGCUUUGUCACCCGCUCUGUAGGCCCGGCCGGCGCUUGCCGAUCAACCCAAAUUUUUAUCCAGGUUGACCUCGGAUCAGGUAGGGAUACCCGCUGAACUUAAGCAUAUCAAUAAGCGGAGGA
Molecule: unclassified non-coding RNA, 345 nt
Filed under: soil metagenome
Description: partial contains 5.8S ribosomal RNA, internal transcribed spacer 2, and large subunit ribosomal RNA
Rfam family: 5.8S ribosomal RNA (bases 1-119)
Source: RNAcentral